GAUCAUGGCUCAGGAUGAACGCUAGCGACAGGCUUAACACAUGCAAGUCGAGGGGCAGCAUGAACUUAGCUUGCUAAGUUUGAUGGCGACCGGCGCACGGGUGAGUAACGCGUAUGCAACUUGCCUAUCAGAGGAGAAUAGCUCAUCGAAAGAUGAAUUAAUGCUCCAUGAAACAGGGGUUCCGCAUGGGAAUAUUUGUUAAAGAUUCAUCGCUGAUAG
RNAcentral lists this ribosomal RNA (219 nucleotides) under uncultured bacterium. RNAcentral's name for it is "partial 16S ribosomal RNA". It matches the Rfam family "Bacterial small subunit ribosomal RNA", at positions 15 to 224 of the family's 1533-position model. The record is from RNAcentral.